CCGAUUGUGUCAGCUUACUCAACUUGGAGAGGGAAGAUAAUGUACCGGCGCCACCGGUACAUUUGGACAGCUGUUUGAACAGCUUAAUAGAAUGAUCAAGAACUUGUUUGACUGAAGAGAUAGAAUGAAAAGGGAAGACCCAAAAGUGUUUUAUAACAGAUACUGUGAGAGUACCGGAAUGCGCAAGAUGGUUUGCAUCAUGGUUAUGAAGGAAAAGCUGACAGUAUUUUUGAGACAGCAAGAAAAACAUCAUUGCACACCAUCAACUAAUGACUC
This is a long non-coding RNA of Saccostrea echinata, 276 nucleotides long. RefSeq lists it as uncharacterized. Lineage: Eukaryota; Metazoa; Mollusca; Bivalvia; Ostreida; Ostreidae. The transcript has 3 exons. The record is from RefSeq and is a predicted model, not a curated record.